This 107-nucleotide ribosomal RNA is filed under the name Lepisosteus oculatus (spotted gar). Lineage: Eukaryota; Metazoa; Chordata; Actinopteri; Semionotiformes; Lepisosteidae. The record is from RNAcentral.
GCCAGUAGCCAUAUCACAACUAGCAACCAACUGAAGCUAAGCAGGUGUGAGCUUGGUCAUUACCUGGAUGGAAGACCUCCUGGGAAGAACUAAGGUUGCUGCUGGAA